AUGUUGUGAUGAGCGCAAGAAUGAAAGAGUCUCUUAUAACGGUCCCAAUAUUCAUAGAAGGGUUUCUCAUCCAUUUGUUGGAUCCCUACAAUCUCUUUUCUGAUUGU
Molecule: small nucleolar RNA, 107 nt
Organism: Prunus persica (peach)
Lineage: Eukaryota; Viridiplantae; Streptophyta; Magnoliopsida; Rosales; Rosaceae
Rfam family: Plant small nucleolar RNA R71
About the family: R71 is a member of the C/D box family of snoRNAs containing the C (UGAUGA) and D (CUGA) box motifs.
Source: Rfam